RNAcentral lists this ribosomal RNA (379 nucleotides) under uncultured eukaryote. RNAcentral's name for it is "partial 18S ribosomal RNA". It matches the Rfam family "Eukaryotic small subunit ribosomal RNA", at positions 592 to 975 of the family's 1831-position model. The record is from RNAcentral.
CAAUAGCGUAUAUUAAAGUUGUUGCGGUUAAAACGCUCGUAGUUGGAUUUCUGUUGAGGGCAGCCGGUCCGCACUUCGUGCGUGUACCUGGUUUGACCUCGGCAUCCUCUCAAAAUACGUUUCUGCGCUUGAUUGCGUGGAGCGGAGUUUGAGACUUUUACUUUGAGGAAAUUAGAGUGUUCACGGCAGGCAAUCGCCUUGAAUAUAUUAGCAUGGAAUAAUAAUAUAGGAUCUUGGUUCUAUUUUGUUGGUUUCUAGAGCUAAGAUAAUGAUUAAUAGGGACAAUUGGGGGCAUUCGUAUUAACGCGUCAGAGGUGGAAUUCUUGGAUUGCGUUACGACGAACUACUGCGAAAGCAUUUGCCAAGGAUGUUUNCAUUG